UACUCGGAUAGUUUUUAACAUAUUAUAUAUAAAUUUUUGUAUCUUGCGCAGGGAGAGCGAAUCCGCCGAAUUUAAGCAUAUAAUUAAGCGGAAGAAAAGAAAAUAACUAUGAUUUCCUUAGUAACGGCGAGUGAACUGGAACAAGCUCAGAGGGAAUUUAUUUUACUUGUAUUUUAUAUAAGUAAUAAUAGAAAGGUCCUUGCUAAUUUCUUUAAGAGUUUUUGUUUAUUAAGUGGGAAAAUCGCCGGAUUGUGGUGCCAUAGAGGGUGAAAGCCCCAUACCUAAAACCAAAAGCUUGUCAGGAUAAGAGAGAUAUUUAGCAUAAUGAGUCGCGCUCUUUGAGAUUGGAGUGUCAAUAUGUUUUCGUGUGAUACGCUUCACACAAAGCUGAAUAUAUGUGGGAGACCGAUAGUGAACAAGUACCAUGAGGGAAAGAUGAAAUAGUACUCAGGAAUGGGGGAUUAAAUGUACCUGAAAUCGUCAAGGCGGAACGGAGAAGUAGUGCUUUUACAUAAUUUUUGAGUUAUGUAUUAUAAAGCGAUGCAAUGUAAAAAAUAAAAAAUACUAAAUUAUUUUAUUUAUAUAUAAAUAAAGUAAUUAAAUGUUUCAAAUAAAUAAAUUUUUUUACCAAAUUUAGUAUUUUUUUUGCAUAAGGAAAUAAACACUAUACUGUGUAUGAUAUCGCUGGGGCGCGCUGCUUUCCCACUCGUCUUGAAACACGGACCAAGGAGUCUACCAGCCUCGCAAGUUUAUCUUGAUAUGUAAAAAGGUAAGCGUAGAGAAAUCAACUUUUUUUUAUAUAUCUCCGAAUUUUUCAAUGUAGGAGAGCCCAGCCGUCUUUAUUUUAAGUGGUUGAGGAAGCGAGUCUGCUAGGACCCGAAAGGCGAUGAACUAGUUGUGACGAGGUUGAAGCUCAGCGAAAGGUGAGUGGAGGACCGAACGGAUACUGACGUGCAAAUCGUUCCGUCGAGUUGCAUCUAGGGGCGAAAGACUCAUCGAAUCGCCUAGUAGCUGGUUAUUUCCGAAAGAUCUCUCAGGAUCGCUGUGUCGUACUUUCCUUUUUUUAUUAAGUUACGUUGCGUAGAGGAAUGAUUGGGGUCUCGGGGAAUUGAUUUUCCUCGCUCCCCUCUCAAACUCCCAAGCAGCGUCAUUGUUUUUAUUCUCUUAAAUGGAAUAAACAAAAAUUAAAUUAACGACACAUGUGGGCCAAUUUUGGUAAGCAGAACUGGCGAUGAGGGAUGCUCCUACCGGGAGACUAAGGCGUCUAAGUGUGUCCGCGCAUGAGAUCCCAGUAAAAGGUGCGGUUGCAUCUGGACAGUAGGACGGUGGCCAUGGAAGUUGGAACCCGCUAAGAAACGUGUAACAACGUACCUACCGAAUGUUCCCGCCCUGAAAAUGGAUGACGCUAAGCGGGUCGCCGACGUCUCCCCGUUUGGUACAGAAAUAUAUGUUUUUAUUAAGUACUAACGUGUAGGAAAUCGUGCGUCUAGCAUGGAAGCUUAAACGUGAGUUUAAGUGAAGCUAUGAUGUAGUGCCGAUCUUGGUGGAAGUAGCUUUUAUUCAAAUGAGAAUUUUUGAAGUCUGACGAGGAGAAGGGUUUCCGGAGAACCGCAUUGGGUCCGGAGUGAGUCGCGCCUAACACUGGCCCGAAAGGGUUCCUGUCGCAUUUGUUUAAAAUACAUGUUACUGUGGAUUUUUGUUUCAUGCGGAGUGGAAAGGGAAACCGGUUUGUAUUCCGGCACCCGCGUUAAUAGGUUUUUCGUAAAUACAAUGGUAACAAUUAGUAACUUUCUGUCACAGGUCCUUUUUUCGUGGUGCGUUUUCUUUGCACUCUAACAUAUCUUAGCACGCUCGGAGAGGUUCAAUCUGAGGAGAGCGUGUACAGAAAACACAUAUGCUAUGUCUGAAGAACCUUUAGGCAUUAAUUGUGGGAAAGAUCGAUUUUUAUAAUCGAUUCGGAAUAAAGGAACUGUCCAUGAACAAGAGGGGUACUAAUCCAACAAGCAUGCUUGCAUGUUUGUACGAUUAACGCGGCGCGUACCAAAAACCGCAUCAGGUCUCCAAGGUUAGCAGCCUCUGGAAUUGGAAAACUGCAGGUAAGGGAAGUCGGCAAAAUGGAUCCGUAACUUCGGGAAAAGGAUUGGCUCUGCGGCGAGGUUUCAUAUGUGUAUUUGUUUUUGUACGUUCUGCGUUAUUGCUUUUAUUUUUAGUUUUUUUAAUUAAAAAUAGUGAGAAAAAACCAGAAUGUCAGAUAAAUGUACUGUGGAUGCUGUUUUGUAUAGUGUAUAAAUUUAUUUAUUACUAUACUUGCGGUCUUGCCGAGCAGAACCGUUGUCCAGGGGAAUCCGACUGUUUAAUUAAAACUUAGCAUAGCGCUUUUUCGUAGCCUUAAGAAGGUGUGAACGGUAUGUGAUUUCUGCUCAGUGCUUAGAUAGUGACCAGAAGUAAAGGUCUUUUUGAAGCGCAGGUAAACAGCGGGAGUAACUAUGACUCUCUCCAGGUAGCCAAAUGCCUCGUCAUCUAAUUAGUGACGCGCAUGAAUGGAUUAACGAGAUUCCCACUGUCCCUACUUGGAUUCCAGCGAACCCACAGCCAAGGGAACGGGCUUGGCAAUGAACGGCGGGGAAAGAAGACCCUGUUGAGCUUGACUCUAGCCGGGCAGCUAGGGCGCCUUCGGGGUGCAGCGUAGGUGGUAGUAUGUACAUUUCGGUGUAUAUACGUCCCUGAGACCCCACCACCCGACUCGCGCCCCGGCUCACCGUCUUAUCACGCAUCUUUUAUGAGUUGUUUUUUAUUCUAUUUUUUUACAAAAUAAGAUAAAUUUUGGUGACCUGACGGGAUGUCCCGGUGGGGAGUUUGACUGGGGCGGUACAUCCACUAAAUCGCAACGUGGAUGUCCUAAGGCACGCUCGGCCAGGACAGAAACCUGGCGUAGACCAGAAGGGGAAAAGCGUGCUUGACUGUGCUUUUUGAGGAAUAAGCACCGCACGGAAACGUGGGCCUACCGAUCCUUCCCACGGCAAAGGAGUUUUUUAUUUAUAAAAGACGAUUGUACCGGGGGAGGUGUCCGAAAAGUUACCACAGGGAUAACUGUCUUGUGGCUGCCAAGCGUUCCUAGCGACGUAGCUUUUUGAUCCUUCGAUGUCGGCUCUUCCUACCAUGGGGAUGCAGAAGUCCCCAAGUGUCGGAUUGUUCACCCGCUAAUAGGGAACGUGAGCUGGGUUUAGACCGUCGUGAGACAGGUUAGUUUUACCCUACCGUUGUAUAUUUUAAAUAGUUGUCGGAAAAGAUCUGAGGGGCAACUCAACAUGGUACGAGAGGAUUUGUUGAUUCGGGCCGCUGGUCCCGCGGUGCGUUGAUAAGCGCAAGCCGCAAAGCUACGCCCGUUUGCUAAGGGCUGAACGCCUCUAAGCCUGAAGCAAUCCCCCGAAGACUUUCCUUAAUUAUAAAGAAAAUAUAUAAAUAUGUGUUAUACAAAUAAUCCUUUGAAACCAAACUAAUUAAUCGAUGUGCUGUAAACUACAGACAUUUUCCGGA
Molecule: ribosomal RNA, 3537 nt
Filed under: Haemoproteus tartakovskyi
Lineage: Eukaryota; Apicomplexa; Aconoidasida; Haemosporida; Haemoproteidae
Description: eukaryotic LSU rRNA
Rfam family: Eukaryotic large subunit ribosomal RNA
Source: RNAcentral